GUCAAUAGAGCAGUCAUAUGGUCUUGAAGGAGGGAGCUUAGAAGCUUCUGUUUCACUAAAGACAUCACUGAAUUCCAUGUAAUGAUCAGGGAUAAUAGUGGACAUAGAACCGAUUUGAUAAUUUUUCAUACAGGUGGAAGUACAGUAUUCCGAAUUAAAAGUAAAGGUAUUUAAGGACCAAUUGAUUUGAGGGUUGUGCUUUUUCAGCCAAGGGAGGCUCAAAACAGUGUCAAACAGAG
Pelobates cultripes (western spadefoot toad) is the source of this 239-nucleotide non-coding RNA. The record is from the annotation of a GenBank genome assembly. NCBI's taxonomy places the organism in Eukaryota, Metazoa, Chordata, Amphibia, Anura, Pelobatidae.